CUUUUGGAUGGGCCCGCGGCGCAUUAGCUAGUUGGUGGGGUAAAGGCUUACCAAGGCAAUGAUGCGUAGCCGAACUGAGAGGUUGAUCGGCCACAUUGGGACUGAGACACGGCCCAAACUCCUACGGGAGGCAGCAGUAGGGAAUCUUCCACAAUGGGCGAAAGCCUGAUGGAGCAACGCCGCGUGGGUGAAGAAGGUCUUCGGAUCGUAAAACCCUGUUGUUAGAGAAGAAAGUGCGUGAGAGUAACUGUUCACGUUUCGACGGUAUCUAACCAGAAAGCCACGGCUAACUACGUGCCAGCAGCCGCGGUAAUACGUAGGUGGCAAGCGUUAUCCGGAUUUAUUGGGCGUAAAGGGAACGCAGGCGGUCUUUUAAGUCUGAUGUGAAAGCCUUCGGCUUAACCGGAGUAGUGCAUUGGAAACUGGGAGACUUGAGUGCAGAAGAGGAGAGUGGAACUCCAUGUGUAGCGGUGAAAUGCGUAGAUAUAUGGAAGAACACCAGUGGCGAAAGCGGCUCUCUGGUCUGUAACUGACGCUGAGGUUCGAAAGCGUGGGUAGCAAACAGGAUUAGAUACCCUGGUAGUCCACGCCGUAAACGAUGAAUGCUAAGUGUUGGAGGGUUUCCGCCCUUCAGUGCU
This 638-nucleotide ribosomal RNA is filed under the name uncultured bacterium. Its description in RNAcentral is "bacterial SSU rRNA". It matches the Rfam family "Bacterial small subunit ribosomal RNA", at positions 218 to 847 of the family's 1533-position model. The record is from RNAcentral.